GAAAAGCAAGAGAAGGGUAUACAGGGAAUGCCUAGGCUUUUGGAGGCGAAGAAGGACGCGACAAGCAGCGAAAUGCUUCGGAGAGGUGCACAUGACCUUUGAUCCGGAGGUAUCCGAAUGAGACAACUCAGCAUGUUGAAGACAUGCUUAUAUAGCCAACCCGGGGAACUGAAACAUCUAAGUACCUGGAGGAAAAGAAAACAAUAGUGAUUCCGCAAGUAGUGGCGAGCGAACGCGGAAGAGUCCAAACCAAUUGAGUUCCGGCUUAAUUGGGGUUGUAGGACCUCGAUAAUCGAUUUAGAUAGAAUUGGAACAUACUGGAAAGUGUGGCCGUAGAGGGUGAAAGUCCCGUACAGGUAAUAUCUAAAGAGAGCGAGAGUUCCUGAGUAAGUGGGGGCCGGUGAAACCCCCAUUGAAUCCGGCGGCACCAUCCGCCAAGACUAAAUACUCCCAAAAGACCGAUAGUGAACAAGUACCGUGAGGGAAAGGUGAAAAGUACCGUGAAUAACGGGGUGCAAUAGAUCCUGAAACUGUAUACCUACAAGCGGACGGAGCUACUUAGUGUAGUGACGUCGUGCCUUUUGCAUAAUGAGCCUACGAGUUACCUAUAUUAGCAAGGUUAAGGACUUAAGGUCUGCAGCCGUAGCGAAAGCGAGUCUUAAGUGGCGCUUAAGUUAGUGUAGGUAGACGCGAAACCAGGUGAUCUACCCAUGGGCAGGUUGAAGUUGUGGUAACACACAAUGGAGGACCGAACCGGUUGACGUUGAAAAGUCUUCGGAUGACCUGUGGGUAGGGGUGAAAGGCCAAUCAAACCUGGAAAUAGCUCGUACUCCCCGAAAUGCCUUUAGGGGCAGCGUCGGAUGAGUUUGAUGGAGGUAGAGCUACCAAUUAGAUGCGGGGGAGUCACAUCCUACCAAAUCUAGAUGAACUCCGAAUGCCAUCAAACACUACCGGCAGUGAGGGCUAGGGUGCCAAGGUCCUAGUCCGAAAGGGAAAGAACCCGGACCAUCGUCUAAGGUCCCCAAGUGAUAGUUAAGUUGAACUAAGGAGGUUCAGUCGCUGAGACAGCCAGGAUGUUAGCUUGGAAGCAGCUAUUCAUUCAAAGAGUGCGUAACAGCUCACUGGUCGAGCGACAGAGCAUCGAUAAUGAUCGGGCAUUAAACUAUCCACCGAAGACAUGGAUUUGUGCUUAGGCACGAGUGGUAGGGGAGCAUUCUGACGGG
RNAcentral lists this ribosomal RNA (1223 nucleotides) under Flammeovirga pacifica. RNAcentral describes it as "Bacterial large subunit ribosomal RNA". It matches the Rfam family "Bacterial large subunit ribosomal RNA", at positions 1 to 1248 of the family's 2925-position model. The record is from Rfam by way of RNAcentral. Lineage: Bacteria; Pseudomonadati; Bacteroidota; Cytophagia; Cytophagales; Flammeovirgaceae.